This 505-nucleotide ribosomal RNA is filed under the name uncultured bacterium. Its description in RNAcentral is "partial 16S ribosomal RNA". It matches the Rfam family "Bacterial small subunit ribosomal RNA", at positions 29 to 523 of the family's 1533-position model. The record is from RNAcentral.
GUGAACGCUGGCGGUAGGCCUAACACAUGCAAGUCGAACGGCAGCACAGAGGCGCUUGCUCCUUGGGUGGCGAGUGGCGGACGGGUGAGGAAUACAUCGGAAUCUACUUUUUCGUGGGGGAUAACGUAGGGAAACUUACGCUAAUACUGCAGACGACCUCCGGGUGAAAGCAGGGGAUCUUCUGGCCUUGCACGAUUCACUGAGCCGGUGUCGGAUUAGCUAGUUGGCGGGGUAAAAGCCCACCAAGGCGACGAUCCGUAGCGGGUCUGAGAGGAUGAUCAGCCACACUGGAACUGAGACACGGUCCAGACUCCUACGGGAGGCAGCAGUGGGGAAUAUUGGACAAUGGGCGCAAGCCUGAUCCAGCCAUACCGCGUGGGUGAAGAAGGCCUUCGGGUUGUAAAGCCCUUUUGUUGGGAAAGAAAAGCACUCGGUUAAUACCCAAGUGUUCUGACGGUACCCAAAGAAUAAGCACCGGCUAACUUCGUGCCAGCAGCCGCAGUAA